This is a long non-coding RNA of Zalophus californianus (California sea lion), 319 nucleotides long. RefSeq lists it as uncharacterized. The record is from RefSeq and is a predicted model, not a curated record. NCBI's taxonomy places the organism in Eukaryota, Metazoa, Chordata, Mammalia, Carnivora, Otariidae. The transcript is spliced from 3 exons.
CAGCUGUGGCUGCACCCCUUCCCAGUCCAGACAUCGGAUUGAAGUGGGCAAAGGCCAUGUUUCACAAAACACCUUCGACCUCCGGCCACCCCAGGAGAGGCCCAGGGAAGCCUCACACCCCAGGCUCCUGACUUGCCCCAGAACGUCUGAGGACUUCAAAGCCACAGAAGGUCUGCGUGGCCCAGGACCCAGAGUCUCAGGGUGACCCUGGAGACUGAAGACAGUGCGAGCUCUGUGUGCAAGGACCCGUGGAUGAGGAAGUCACCAGCGCUUGGAGAAUGGAAGCUCCUUGCCAGAGGACUUGUAGCUAAUCGGGGGG